RNAcentral lists this ribosomal RNA (465 nucleotides) under Vreelandella stevensii. Its description in RNAcentral is "partial 16S ribosomal RNA". It matches the Rfam family "Bacterial small subunit ribosomal RNA", at positions 338 to 795 of the family's 1533-position model. Lineage: Bacteria; Pseudomonadati; Pseudomonadota; Gammaproteobacteria; Oceanospirillales; Halomonadaceae. The record is from RNAcentral.
CCUACGGGAGGCAGCAGUGGGGAAUAUUGGACAAUGGGGGGAACCCUGAUCCAGCCAUGCCGCGUGUGUGAAGAAGGCCCUCGGGUUGUAAAGCACUUUCAGUGAGGAAGAACGCCUGGUGGUUAAUACCCAUCAGGAAAGACAUCACUCACAGAAGAAGCACCGGCUAACUCCGUGCCAGCAGCCGCGGUAAUACGGAGGGUGCGAGCGUUAAUCGGAAUUACUGGGCGUAAAGCGCGCGUAGGUGGCUUGAUAAGCCGGUUGUGAAAGCCCCGGGCUCAACCUGGGAACGGCAUCCGGAACUGUCAAGCUAGAGUGCAGGAGAGGAAGGUAGAAUUCCCGGUGUAGCGGUGAAAUGCGUAGAGAUCGGGAGGAAUACCAGUGGCGAAGGCGGCCUUCUGGACUGACACUGACACUGAGGUGCGAAAGCUUGGGUAGCAAACAGGAUUAGAUACCCGAGUAGUC